GACGAACGCUGGCGGCGUGCUUAACACAUGCAAGUCGAACGGAAAGGCCCUGCUUUUGUGGGGUGCUCGAGUGGCGAACGGGUGAGUAACACGUGAGUAACCUGCCCUUGACUUUGGGAUAACUUCAGGAAACUGGGGCUAAUACCGGAUAGGAGCUCCUGCUGCAUGGUGGGGGUUGGAAAGUUUCGGCGGUUGGGGAUGGACUCGCGGCUUAUCAGCUUGUUGGUGGGGUAGUGGCUUACCAAGGCAUUGACGGGUAGCCGGCCUGAGAGGGUGACCGGCCACAUUGGGACUGAGAUACGGCCCAGACUCCUACGGGAGGCAGCAGUGGGGAAUAUUGCACAAUGGGCGGAAGCCUGAUGCAGCAACGCCGCGUGCGGGAUGACGGCCUUCGGGUUGUAAACCGCUUUCGCCUGUGACGAAGCGUGAGUGACGGUAAUGGGUAAAGAAGCACCGGCUAACUACGU
RNAcentral lists this ribosomal RNA (467 nucleotides) under uncultured bacterium. RNAcentral's name for it is "partial 16S ribosomal RNA". It matches the Rfam family "Bacterial small subunit ribosomal RNA", at positions 28 to 506 of the family's 1533-position model. The record is from RNAcentral.